UACGUAGGGUGCAAGCGUUGUCCGGAAUUAUUGGGCGUAAAGAGCUCGUAGGCGGUCUGUUGCGUCGGCUGUGAAAACCCGGGGCUCAACUCCGGGCCUGCAGCCGAUACGGGCAGACUAGAGUUCGGCAGGGGAGACUGGAAUUCCUGGUGUAGCGGUGAAAUGCGCAGAUAUCAGGAGGAACACCGGUGGCGAAGGCGGGUCUCUGGGCCGAUACUGGCACUGAGGAGCGAAAGCGUGGGGAGCGAACAGG
This 253-nucleotide ribosomal RNA is filed under the name uncultured bacterium. RNAcentral describes it as "partial 16S ribosomal RNA". It matches the Rfam family "Bacterial small subunit ribosomal RNA", at positions 524 to 776 of the family's 1533-position model. The record is from RNAcentral.